RNAcentral lists this ribosomal RNA (523 nucleotides) under uncultured bacterium. RNAcentral describes it as "partial 16S ribosomal RNA". It matches the Rfam family "Bacterial small subunit ribosomal RNA", at positions 28 to 523 of the family's 1533-position model. The record is from RNAcentral.
GACGAACGCUGGCGGCGUGCUUAACACAUGCAAGUCGAACGAGACGAUUGAAAGCUUGCUUUCGAAAGUCGAGUGGCAAACGGGUGAGUAACGCGUAGACAACCUGCCUUUGAGAUGGGGACAACAGUUCGAAAGGACUGCUAAUACCGAAUGUUGUAUAUUUUCCACAUGGAAGAUAUAUUAAAGAUGGCCUCUAUUUAUAAGCUAUCGCUCAAAGAUGGGUCUGCGUCUGAUUAGCUAGUUGGUGGGGUAACGGCCUACCAAGGCGACGAUCAGGAGCCGGUCUGAGAGGGUGAACGGCCACAUUGGGACUGAGACACGGCCAGACUCCUACGGGAGGCAGCAGUGGGGAAUCUUCCACAAUGGACGAAAGUCUGAUGGAGCAACGCCGCGUGAGUGAAGAAGGGUUUCGGCUCGUAAAGCUCUGUUGUCGGGGACGAAUGUGCAGUAUUUGAAUAAAGUACUGCAAUGACGGUACCUGACGAGGAAGCCACGGCUAACUACGUGCCAGCAGCCGCCGUAA